GUAAACAUAAGCUACUAUUUUCCAAGUUCUCAAAGAAAAGAAAGAAAAAAAUCAUACUGCGGCAACAAUAUCACAAAAACAAGUCAUGUGGUAUAGUUUCAAGGAAGAAAGCGAGUAAGAAAGCAGGAAAACACCAGCCCAGUUUCAAACAUAAUACACAAGCAUAACAAUACUAAGUGAGGACAUUAAUUCAACAAUUGCAUCUACUCUUCUUCUUUUUUUUAAACAUGUAAUACUACUUAGAAUUGGCUAAAAUUUCCACCAAUCUCAGCAACACCUCUCAGUUUAACUAAAUGAAAGAGUAAAAUAAACGCUAAUACUUGGCUAGAUACUACAAGUUUAAGAAUAUUUCCUUUAGUUACAUUUCCAGUUUAUGAAAAUCUUAAUGGGAAAAGUGCACAAAAUUACAACCGAAUGAAAAAUACAUAACAUUAACAAUUAUGCACAAAUCUCAUACAUAAUGUGAUGGUUAAAGAGUGAAAAUUAUCAAAAUUACAACUGAUUUAAUAACAUUAACAACAAAACCGCAUACAUAACAUUAACAAUUAUGACAAAUCGUUGAGUUAGUUGCAAUUGACGUAUUUCAAUUUUCACCAUCACUAAUUCAUUGGAGUCGUUAGCGUUCGUUGGAUGAGUUGUUACAUUUAAAUGCUCGGAUGUGUCCAUUUACAACCUCCCUUGAUUAUGCAACACUCGAACAUAUUCGUCACACCAGUUGAUGAAAUUACCACAUUGCUGCAAAAUUUUGCAACCUCCCUUGGGGAAGAAUAAUAGUGUCUACCCGGAUUCUAUCAGCAGACAGGCAUAAAAAAGAUCAACAAUAAUUCCAAACUGACAUAUAAUCCAUGAAGUUUAUACAAAAGUCAUAAAAACUAACAAUUAUAGCAAAAUGACACGUGUAUCUGUAUAAAUGACAUGUGUAUCAAUUAUAAAAGUGCAAUUUUAUCUCAUCAACAAAGAGAAAUGAAACACAGACUGGACAUGCAGUUAUAUAAGAGAAGAAGAUGGAAUCACAUUUAAACUACGCCUUGACUGCUUGACAAGCCCAGAUGUGUCCAUGUCUGUUUAACAUUCAAAUCCAACUCUCCACAUUCACCUGCAAACCCAAAACUAAAGCAAAGUAAUAAAGUGACUUAAUUUCCUACCAGAUGCACAAAAUAGAACUAAAUUUGAAAAUUAAAAAAAGAAACUUUUUAAGAAGUACCUACCAGACGCACAAAGUUGAUCUUAAAUAUCACCUUAACAAUUGAAAAAGAAACUUUUUAAGAAGUAGCCAAAGUAACAGAAAAUUUUAGAACCAAAUAUCAAGUGGGAUCUCUCAAUUUAAUUUUCUACAAGGAUGCAGCAUGAUUUAACUUGUGAGGGCAGUAACAAAUAAAUACCAGGACAAUCGAGGAAUGAUAACCUCGAUAAAAAGAUGCAGCAUGAUUCAUUUUACUGUUAGUUGGACAAAGGAAUCCUUAUACUGUUUACCAAGUCGUGCUAAAAGUUUGAAGAUCACAACCCACUCAAUAGUCAUCACCUCCAUAAUUAACCAUUAAACAAAUAAAAUUGAGACUAUUUCCACUAUUUUGAUGUCAACUGUGUGACUAAGUACAUCUAUAACCAUAUAAAACAUAUACAUUUACUCUACUAUUUAACUUAAUUUCUACCAACGCCAAUGCUUUGUUCCUACUGCUAGAUAUGGAGACGAAGGUUCAGUAUUAUUGUUAUUCGUUAGGUUAGUAGAUCAAUGGAACAUAAGGAUCUUUGAUUGUUACCACUUUAAGAAUUCUAACCAAAAUGAUCUUACUUUAGGACUACAUGAUUGCUAAUAUAGACCAGCAUCCUAAACAAUCAAUUAAGCUACAAACACCAACCUCUCAAAAAACUAGCAAAAUCAUUAACAGAAUAUUACAAAAAUUCAAUAGUAAUUAUAACAAAAAAAAAACUAAAUCAAAAGGAUUUGCUUUCCUUUUUAAAAUUUCCUCUAGGGACAUGAUGUAAUAUUUGUGCCUUGGUGGCGCAUGAGAUUUUUUAUUUUGGCUCUAUAUGUACAUGAAAAAUUGAACAUGACUGAAACUGCUUUGUCUUUAACAUGUGCAGCAUAAGAGACUAUAAUCAAAAAAAUAGGCUAAUGAAACUGCAACCGGAAAUACCGUAAUGCAAACGGAAACUUUUCAGGCUAAUUUUUGAAAAAAAUAGAAAUUGUUAAUUACUUGCAUAUGAGGAGGUCGUUGUUGUAGCUCUAGAAGAUGAGGGGAUGAGAUUAGGGUUGUACAGGGCAGAAAAGGGGCAAAAGUGUAAAGGAGCAGAAAGGGACAAAAGAAAUGGAAUGCAGCGUUGAUGGAUCCGGCCUUCCGGGGUUUGCUUCACACUCGUUUUCACAGAGGGAAUUGGUGGAAAAAAUGCUCUGAUUAUCUGAAUUUGGGGAGAGAGAAUCGGGGGGAGAGAGAGGGAUUUUAUGGAAAUUAUCUGAUUCAUUUGCCCCAAAUUUGUUUCCCCUUUUUUUUGUGACCCGAGUCGUUUUUAACCCUUUUUGUGAGCGGCAUAUUUUUUUUCCUU
This 2544-nucleotide long non-coding RNA is filed under the name Panax ginseng (ginseng). Its description in RNAcentral is "long non-coding RNA (PGIN_LNC015363)". The record is from RNAcentral. Lineage: Eukaryota; Viridiplantae; Streptophyta; Magnoliopsida; Apiales; Araliaceae.